Molecule: long non-coding RNA, 1442 nt
Organism: Mus musculus (house mouse)
Lineage: Eukaryota; Metazoa; Chordata; Mammalia; Rodentia; Muridae
Product: predicted gene, 34630
Exons: 3
Source: RefSeq, a predicted model, not a curated record
GGCUGGGGGAUGUGGCUCUGGGGGAAAGCUCUUGCCUGGCUUGUGCAAAGCACAGGGCCUCAAUCCCCAGCACUUCAACAAGCAGAAGACAAGAAGCGGGAUUUGAGUAGGCGAGGGUUCCAGAGUAUCAGGCUCUUGCGUCUAUCCUGGCUGGAUUCAGGCUGCCCAGAUGCAUCAAGGAUAAUACACUUUGCUCUGGGUCCCACUCAUCCUCACAUUGUGACUGUGGCAGAUGUGGGAGGCUGAGAGCUGCAGCCAACUGCUUCCUUCCAGCCCAUCCUGACCCAUCACAACUGACCAGAGAAAGAGAAGAUGGACAUCUUUCAUUGUCUGGUGAUUGACUCCCGAAGACUCAAGUUAAACAGGAAGGACUCCAGCUCUGGUUGUGUGUGUCUGUUUACAGUGAAGCACAUGAACAACCAUGAAUGAAAUCCUCUAAGAAUUUGCUACUUCUGUCUCCUCUGAGCUCACAAACCUGCUCUUUGGGGCCUUGCAGGACAUUCACGGCACCAAAUUUCCAGCCGCUGACUAUGUUUUCCUGUCUCCUUCAAAACCCAAGUGAACUCAGCCUGCAUCUCUUUUUAAUUUUACAUUUUUUAAAAACAAGUUUUCACUACGUAGCCCAAACUGACCUUGAAUUCAUAAUCCCCUGGGCUCCUAGAUGGGCUUGGCCAGGCCUGUGAGCUCUGCAGCUUCCUAAGCAGACGUUCUCGCUCGAGUGUAUACACACCACACAACAGCUGGAUCGGUUGCUAUUUCUUGCUUGGUUUUGAUUGUUGCUUUUGAUUUAACUUGUGAAAACACCAUGCCUGGGUUGUGGCAGGAAGCAGGACGUGACUGUUCUGAAUUCUUACACUGUCCUUGUGAAGGGACAUGUUAUCUCUCCUGCUUCCAUAUGUCAUUUGUCUUUGCUUAUCUAGAGAGCAGAACCCUGGCGCCCUGCCUAGGACUGUGUGGGAGCCGGGCAGUUUCUUUCUUGGGUUCAUCAUUUAGUUAGUUGUAAGCACCUAGUGGAAAAUUAUUCUAAAUAUAUGUGCUGUAGAACCUUCAGGAGAGUGGAUGUGAAAGGUAGCUGGACUUUCUUCAACCCCAGGAAACAGAACAACACCCUCACUCCUCUGCAGACAGCUCUGCUGAGGUGGGUGGGCAGGGGCUAGGACCUUCCCUGCAGCACUUUCAGAGCCUGUAUUGGAAAUGUUCCUAGCUAUAUUGUAUCCAUUCACCUUUACUACACAGGACAUGGAGUUACGGACUUCAUUUCGAAGGCACCCUUGCAGAUUAGGACAAAAGGUUGUCAGUUAUCAGCCUGUGUCUUGGAAGGGAACUAGUGAGACUCCUUGUUUUGGGGCUAUCUCAAGGAAAUUUCCCUUUUUAUUAUUUAUCCUUGGGUGGCUGAGUCCUUCAAAUCAGACUUUCUUCAUGUCCAUGCAAAAGCAUGCCUU